UUCAAGGCCUAAGGGAGCAAGUCGAAUGGUAACAGGAAACAGCUUGCUGUUUCGCUUAUGACUGGCGGACGGGUGAAUAAUGUCUGGGAAACUGCCUGAUGGAGGGGGAUAACUACUGGAAACGGUAGCUAAUACCGCAUAACGUCGCAAGACCAAAGAGGGGGACCUUCGGGCCUCUUGCCAUCAGAUGUGCCCAGAUGGGAUUAGCUAGUAGGUGGGGUAACGGCUCACCUAGGCGACGAUCCCUAGCUGGUCUGAGAGGAUGACCAGCCACACUGGAACUGAGACACGGUCCAGACUCCUACGGGAGGCAGCAGUGGG
Molecule: small RNA, 321 nt
Filed under: uncultured bacterium
Lineage: Bacteria
Description: bacterial SSU rRNA
Rfam family: Bacterial small subunit ribosomal RNA
Source: RNAcentral